Long non-coding RNA from Oncorhynchus nerka (sockeye salmon), 167 nucleotides. RefSeq lists it as uncharacterized. The transcript is spliced from 3 exons. The record is from RefSeq and is a predicted model, not a curated record. Lineage: Eukaryota; Metazoa; Chordata; Actinopteri; Salmoniformes; Salmonidae.
UGAAUUUCAGCACUUUAGUUAGUCAGACCUCACUAUGUGUGUGACAGUUUCUGCUGUAGACAGUUUACGUUACCGUCUAAGGUGAUCAGUAGUGUGUGAGUUCUCACAUGGCUUGUCCUGAGAACAUGUUUUUUCUCAUUGGCCUCUUUAUGUCAGGUGUUUUGGCC